Non-coding RNA from Haemonchus placei, 75 nucleotides. The record is from Rfam. Lineage: Eukaryota; Metazoa; Nematoda; Chromadorea; Rhabditida; Trichostrongylidae.
GAUCCAAAUUUGAAGUAUAGUAGGUUAGUAAGGUCAGCUGAUACUACUAAUCUACUCUACUUUGAAUUUGGGCCC